Molecule: transfer-messenger RNA, 260 nt
Filed under: Actinomycetota bacterium
Lineage: Bacteria; Bacillati; Actinomycetota
Description: partial transfer-messenger RNA
Rfam family: transfer-messenger RNA
About the family: Bacterial tmRNA, also known as 10Sa RNA or SsrA, is named for its dual tRNA and mRNA-like properties.
Source: RNAcentral
GGGGGCGAUCAGGUCUCGACGUGGUCGAUUCUCCGGCAGAGCUGCAAGCCGAGGUCCCCGGUCGGCCUCGUAAAACAACCGGGAACCACGUAAGUGCGAACGACGAACUCGCACUCGCUGCCUAACUGAGUUAGUCAGCGCGUCGCUCCGGCUUCGGCCCGUGGGCCGGGUAGCGGCGUCAGAAACGGGCUCGCCGCCGAGGGAGAGCCAAUCGCCCGAGGCGGGACUCGAAAGGAUGGCUAGUCCCUCGGGAGGCCGCC